GAGGGUAUAGCUCAAGUGGUGGAGCACAUGCCUCGCAUGCCUGGGUCCUGGGUUCAAUCCCCAGUACCUCCU
RNAcentral lists this transfer RNA (72 nucleotides) under Camelus bactrianus (Bactrian camel). It matches the Rfam family "tRNA". Rfam says of the family: Transfer RNA (tRNA) molecules are approximately 80 nucleotides in length. Their secondary structure includes four short double-helical elements and three loops (D, anti-codon, and T loops). Lineage: Eukaryota; Metazoa; Chordata; Mammalia; Artiodactyla; Camelidae. The record is from Rfam by way of RNAcentral. RNAcentral also lists the same sequence under 2 other names.